GGCUGAGGGCAGAUAUAGAGGAGCUCAGUCCUGCAGGCUGAUUGCCGCUAACUCUGUAUAUUCCAUCGACAUCCAGACCUGAAAAAGGAAAACAUAUUUCAUAUUGGCUCAUAAUGCCAAGACAUGUCUGUCAUCCAGGGAACGAAGUCUUUACUCUUCAGUGGAAACAUGCGGCUUUGGGAAGAAA
Mauremys reevesii (Reeves's turtle) is the source of this 187-nucleotide long non-coding RNA. RefSeq lists it as uncharacterized. The transcript is spliced from 3 exons. Lineage: Eukaryota; Metazoa; Chordata; Testudines; Geoemydidae. The record is from RefSeq and is a predicted model, not a curated record.